CAGGGCUUUAUUUUCAUAUGAGGGAGUGACCAACAAUCUCAAACUCACAGAUUCAGGAGCUGGAGGUUUGACAGAAUUGGUUGGGAAAUUUCACAGCAGCAGGCCCAUGUAUGGCCUCUGCAGGGUGGGACUGACAGAAACAGGACAACCACAGAUUGUCAUGGUUUGCUGGGUUGGUAAUGAUGUGGAUGAGCACCGCAGAACUGAAUGUGCCAGCCAUGUCCCUGCCAUCAAGACCUUCUUCAAGGU
Sinocyclocheilus grahami is the source of this 249-nucleotide long non-coding RNA. RefSeq lists it as uncharacterized. The record is from RefSeq and is a predicted model, not a curated record. The transcript is spliced from 3 exons. Lineage: Eukaryota; Metazoa; Chordata; Actinopteri; Cypriniformes; Cyprinidae.